UGCAGGGCUUAGUUUCGAUAUCCACCACUUUCAAGGAAUCCAAACUAUAUCAGGAAUGGUUUCAGCGCGGGAAAAAAGGGGCCAUUUACUCCAGAGAGGUUCCAAAUCCCACCCUCGUCAAACUGGCCAAUACUCUUGAGUACUCUUGUGCUUUUAAUGCUUUUCUACUACAUAAUAGUACAGGACAUCGAAGUGGAUCAAGGGAUUCCUAAGAAUGUCAAAAACGGAUGCGCAAGUUUAAUGCCUAAACGUUCUCUUCGGACCCAGGUAGUUCUGCACUUCAUGACUCGGGUUAGAGAAAUCCACAUAAAACGCC
This 316-nucleotide small RNA is filed under the name Histoplasma capsulatum. RNAcentral describes it as "hypothetical RNA". The record is from RNAcentral. Lineage: Eukaryota; Fungi; Ascomycota; Eurotiomycetes; Onygenales; Ajellomycetaceae. RNAcentral also lists the same sequence under 1 other name.